GUGCUCACUUCAGCAACACACAUACUAAAAUCAGAACAAUACAGAGAAGAUUAGCAUGGCCCUUAUGCAAGGAUGACAUGCAAAUUCAUGAAGUGUUCCAUAUUUAA
This is a small nuclear RNA of Oryctolagus cuniculus (rabbit), 107 nucleotides long. The record is from Ensembl. Lineage: Eukaryota; Metazoa; Chordata; Mammalia; Lagomorpha; Leporidae.